CAGGGAAUCUUCCACAAUGGGCGAAAGCCUGAUGGAGCAACGCCGCGUGUGUGAUGAAGGCUUUCGGGUCGUAAAGCACUGUUGUAUGGGAAGAACAGCUAGAAUAGGAAAUGAUUUUAGUUUGACGGUACCAUACCAGAAAGGGACGGCUAAAUACGUGCCAGCAGCCGCGGUAAUACGUAUGUCCCGAGCGUUAUCCGGAUUUAUUGGGCGUAAAGCGAGCGCAGACGGUUUAUCAAGUCUGAUGUGAAAGCCCGGAGCUCAACUCCGGAAUGGCAUUGGAAACUGGUUAACUUGAGCGCAGUAGAGGUAAGUGGAACUCCAUGUGUAGCGGUGGAAUGCGUAGAUAUAUGGAAGAACACCAGUGGCGAAGGCGGCUUACUGGAUUGCAACUGACGUUGAGGCUCGAAAGUGUGGGUAGCAAACAG
RNAcentral lists this ribosomal RNA (428 nucleotides) under uncultured bacterium. Its description in RNAcentral is "bacterial SSU rRNA". It matches the Rfam family "Bacterial small subunit ribosomal RNA", at positions 355 to 775 of the family's 1533-position model. The record is from RNAcentral.